This 1127-nucleotide long non-coding RNA is filed under the name Coffea arabica (coffee). Its description in RNAcentral is "long non-coding RNA (CARA_LNC005524)". Lineage: Eukaryota; Viridiplantae; Streptophyta; Magnoliopsida; Gentianales; Rubiaceae. The record is from RNAcentral.
GAGGUUCCAAGACACUCUAACAGUUCAAAUAAAUCAAGUAAGUUGGGCAUAUCAUAUGCAUGGUUCAAGGUUACACAAUGGCAUGUUAUCAUGAGGUGAUAAUCAUUGUACGGGUAAUUUGAGACAUUUAUCAUGGUAUGAGACAUUUAUCAUGAGACAGGUAUCAUGGUAUGAGUACAUUGGUCAGGUAACAGGUAUGGAGCAUAUCACAGGCAUAGCUCAGGAUUUCAUGUUGGCAUUUUAGCAUGAAACAAUUAUCAUGAUACAAGGUAAACAUAUACGGUAGGAUACGGUGUUCCAGUGGAACUCUGUCGGUCAUCUGCACCUUAUGACUUCCGGAUCCCCUCGGUUUGACUGGCCAUCACCUUAUCCCUCCAAUGGUAAUACUCGAGUAUACCGAAACGGUGUCCCAAGGUUCCAACCUACCCUACCGAGCCCAGUCCUGGCUCGAGUAGGUUAGUAACGAUGAGCAGGGCCCAAUUCAGCUUAGAGCUUACAACAUGCACAAGUAAUCAAGUAAUUCGGCAAAAGGUAAAAUUCAUCAUUUGAGUAGGUCGAGUGAGGUAAAGUACACACUCGCCUAACAAUGAUGGACAACUUCAUAUAACAUGGGAUUCAUGAUAAUCAAGUGAUCAAGUAAGUUGGUGAUUACGUAAGCAGAUAAUCAAGUAAGCAAGUAGCCGAAUAGAUUAGAAAACGGUAAGUAAACAUGGUUAACGGUAAACGGUUAACGGUGGUAAUUACGGUUAAUUGGUAGACAUAUGUCAUUUUAAUAGGCCACCAUUGGCCUUUUUCACUUUUUCCACAUAAGAGUCGAGGAGAUUCACUCCAACCGACUUAUGCUGUCAUAGCAUAAUUAAUCAUUUAAACACAUCAUGUAGAUAUGCUCUCCAAGCAUUUCAUAUCUAAUAUUUCAAGUAAUCACAUAAAUAUGCUCUUUAAGCAUUUCAUAUCGAAUAGUUCAAAUAUACAUAUUUCAGGUAUUUCAUGUCGAGUAAUUCAAGUAUACCUUAUUCAGAUAUGCAUGAGUGUGGUAAAUACUUAACAUAUAGCACUUAACACUUAAUAAUCAUGGGUUAUGCAUGUCAUAGACUUAUUCCAAUUACGUAUUCCUAUAUGGAACACUC